RNAcentral lists this long non-coding RNA (244 nucleotides) under Lathyrus oleraceus (garden pea). RNAcentral describes it as "Pisum sativum (pea) long non-coding RNA (PSAT_LNC032586)". The record is from RNAcentral. Lineage: Eukaryota; Viridiplantae; Streptophyta; Magnoliopsida; Fabales; Fabaceae.
UUCUUUUUUUUUUGUUCGCCGGGAUGCCCAUUUUUGCCUGGACUCUUUUAUUCUUUUCGUCCAGCGGGUCUCUUUUACGAAGUAUCUUUUAACUGCGUCCGCAUCUGCAGGGGAUGGAAAAUCCUCGCCACUCAUGGUUGUCAGCAACAAGGCUCUGUCGGAGAAAACCUUCUUGACCAUGCUGGGGAUUCAUGAUUGGGCGUCCACUUGCCCCUACGAUCGUUGAGGAGGAAGGAUCCUUUUC